CGGGGAUUUGUUGGAAUUUCUGGCGUAGUUUAAACGCAGGACUCUGACUCCGUAUGUGGAGGUUCGAAUCCUCCAUCCCCAGCCA
This 85-nucleotide transfer RNA is filed under the name Candidatus Thiodiazotropha sp. (ex Lucina pensylvanica). RNAcentral's name for it is "tRNA-Gln". RNAcentral also lists the same sequence under 1 other name. Lineage: Bacteria; Pseudomonadati; Pseudomonadota; Gammaproteobacteria; Chromatiales; Sedimenticolaceae. The record is from RNAcentral.